UAGUCCACGCCGUAAACGAUGUCAACUAGCCGUUGGAUUCCUUGAGGAUUUAGUGGCGCAGCUAACGCAAUAAGUUGACCGCCUGGGGAGUACGGCCGCAAGGUUAAAACUCAAAUGAAUUGACGGGGGCCCGCACAAGCGGUGGAGCAUGUGGUUUAAUUCGACGCAACGCGAAGAACCUUACCAGGUCUUGACAUCCUGCGAACUUUCUAGAGAUAGAUUGGUGCCUUCGGGAACGCAGUGACAGGUGCUGCAUGGCUGUCGUCAGCUCGUGUCGUGAGAUGUUGGGUUAAGUCCCGUAACGAGCGCAACCCCUAUCGUAUGUUGCCAGCAUUCAGUUGGGCACUCAUGCGAGACUGCCGGUGUUAAGCCGGAGGAAGGUGGGGACGACGUCAAGUCAUCAUGGCCCUUACGUGUAGGGCUACACACGUGCUACAAUGGCGGGUACAGAGGGUCGCGAAGCCGCGAGGUGGAGCCAAUCUCAUAAAGCCCGUCCCAGUUCGG
Molecule: ribosomal RNA, 504 nt
Filed under: uncultured bacterium
Lineage: Bacteria
Description: bacterial SSU rRNA
Rfam family: Bacterial small subunit ribosomal RNA
Source: RNAcentral